UGAUGUGGAUUAAUUCGAUGCAACGCGAAAACCUUACCUACCCUUGACAUGUCUGGAAUCCUUGAGAGAUCAGGGAGUGCCUUCGGGAGCCAGAACACAGGUGCUGCAUGGCUGUCGUCAGCUCGUGUCGUGAGAUGUUGGGUUAAGUCCCGCAACGAGCGCAACCCUUACCAUUAAUUGCCAUCAUUCAGUUGGGCACUUUAAUGGGACUGCCGGUGACAAACCGGAGGAAGGUGGGGAUGACGUCAAGUCCUCAUGACCUUUAUAUCCAGGGCUACACACACGCUACAAUGGUCUGUACAAUGGGUAGCCAAGCCGCGAGGCGGAGCCAAUCCUGAAAGCAGGCCUCAGUUCAGAUUGCAGUCUGCAACUCGACUGCAUGAAGCCGGAGUUGCUAGUAACCGCAGGUCAGCAAUACUGCGUUGAAUACGUUCCCGGGGCUU
Molecule: ribosomal RNA, 443 nt
Filed under: uncultured Zoogloea sp.
Lineage: Bacteria; Pseudomonadati; Pseudomonadota; Betaproteobacteria; Rhodocyclales; Zoogloeaceae
Description: bacterial SSU rRNA
Rfam family: Bacterial small subunit ribosomal RNA
Source: RNAcentral